GCGCACCAGGCGAGAAACCUCCGCAAUACACGAAAGUGUGACGGGCCAUCCCGAGUGCCGUCCGCUGAGGACGGCUUUUCCCCAGUGUACACAGCUGGGGGAAUAAGGAGAGGGCAAGCCUGGUGUCAGCCGCCGCGGUAAUACCAGCUCUCCGAGUGGUGGGGACGCUUAUUGGGCCUAAAGCAUCCGUAGCCGGCUGGGCAAGGUCCUCCGUUAAAUCCAACGAUUCAAUCGUUGGGCUGCGGGGGAUACUGUCCAGCUUGGGGGCGGGGAGAGGCCGACGGUAUUCCCGGGGUAGGGGUGAAAUCCUAUAAUCCCGGGAGGACCACCAGUGGCGAAGGCUGUCGGCUAGAACGCGCCCGACGGUGAGGGAUGAAAGCUGGGGGAGCGAACCGGAUUAGAUACCGCGUAGU
Molecule: ribosomal RNA, 413 nt
Filed under: uncultured microorganism
Description: bacterial SSU rRNA
Rfam family: Archaeal small subunit ribosomal RNA
Source: RNAcentral